AUUUGUUUCAUUUAGGGCUUUGCUCCCGGAAGCAGUUAUCCUUAUCGCAAGGCAAACGAGCUUUAUCGUGAUUCGUGUGCUACACCCAAUUGAUCCAGGAAUAUACACCAACAGCUGGGUUUUGUUGGCCGGAUUUGAAUUUACCAUUGUAAUUGAGAACAUUUCCCAGUGCAGGUUUUGAACAGUGUUGCAACCAGUAGAGACGAGCACCAUGGUGCUUCAGUUUAAGAUGUCAAUCCACACUGUACUGUCAUUGGUCAUCUGCUGCUAUGUACUCACCGGUACUACAGUGAUGAGUUGUCCAGCGCCAUGUUCGUGUGAUGGUGCACCUCAGUACACUGUAGAUUGCUCCUUCUACGCAUUAACAAUGGUGCCGGGUGGAAUACCGAAUACAACA
Molecule: long non-coding RNA, 397 nt
Organism: Sycon ciliatum
Lineage: Eukaryota; Metazoa; Porifera; Calcarea; Leucosolenida; Sycettidae
Exons: 3
Source: RefSeq, a predicted model, not a curated record